RNAcentral lists this ribosomal RNA (406 nucleotides) under uncultured bacterium. RNAcentral's name for it is "partial 16S ribosomal RNA". It matches the Rfam family "Bacterial small subunit ribosomal RNA", at positions 30 to 526 of the family's 1533-position model. The record is from RNAcentral.
AUUGAACGCUGGCGGCCGGCCGAACACAUGCAAGUCGAGCGAGCGGCGGACGGGUGAGUAAUGUCUGGUAAACUGCCUGUUGGAGGGGGAUAACUACUGGAAACGGUAGCUAAUACCGCAUACCCUCAGAUGUGCCCAGAUUGGAUUAGCUUGUAGGUUGGGUAAUGGCUCACCUAGGCGACGAUCCCGAACUGGUCUGAGAGGAUGACCAGCCACACUGGAACUGAGACACGGUCCAGACGCCUACGGGAGGCAGCAGUGGGGAAUAUUGCACAAUGGGCGCAAGCCUGAUGCAGCCAUGCCGCGUGUGUGAAGAAGGCCUUCGGGUUGUAAAGCACUUUCAGCGGGGAGGCGUUACCCGCAGAAGAAGCACCGGCUAACUCCGUGCCAGCAGCCGCGGUAAUUC